Molecule: long non-coding RNA, 262 nt
Filed under: Bos taurus (domestic cattle)
Lineage: Eukaryota; Metazoa; Chordata; Mammalia; Artiodactyla; Bovidae
Description: long non-coding RNA NONBTAT024472
Source: RNAcentral
GCAUGUCAGCUGUCGCUUUCUACAGCUAGGGCAAUGGAAGCCAAAGUUAGCUUCAGGGGGCACUUCUAAGUAAGGUGACUUUGGCCGCUGCUAAAUGUGUAUAUGAUACAGCUCCACUGGGUUAAGAAGCUGUUUCUGAUUUUAGUAAACUCACACUACAAAUAUGUAUUUCAUGAGGUGCAGAUUACAAGGUACAUUUAAACUCACUUCAGCAAACUGAGUUCUCGACCACACACUUGUGGGUCUGGUGCUGAAGAAAUGA